CAGCAGCCGCGGUAAUACAGAGGGUGCGAGCGUUAAUCGGAAUUACUGGGCGUAAAGCGCACGCAGGCGGUCUGACAAGUCAGAUGUGAAAUCCCCGGGCUUAACCUGGGAACUGCAUUUGAAACUGUCAGGCUGGAGUCUUGUAGAGGGGGGUAGAAUUCCAGGUGUAGCGGUGAAAUGCGUAGAGAUCUGGAGGAAUACCGGUGGCGAAGGCGGCCCUUUGGACAAAGACUGACGCUCAGGUGCGAAAGCGUGGGGAGCAAACAGGAUUAGAUACCCCGGUAGUCCCUGUCUCUUAUAC
This 301-nucleotide ribosomal RNA is filed under the name uncultured bacterium. RNAcentral's name for it is "partial 16S ribosomal RNA". It matches the Rfam family "Bacterial small subunit ribosomal RNA", at positions 509 to 807 of the family's 1533-position model. The record is from RNAcentral.